GAUAAAUGUUACCAAGGAAUAACUCGAGGGAUAUCAUACGUGACAACUUGAUACUUGAUAAAUUUGGUAGUUACAACACAAAAGUGAGCCAGUAAUGCUUAAGGCUUGGCACAAAUUGCAGCAAAUGGAACAUAUGAGCUCGGAUGGCAUAAUUCUUCAUGGCUUUUAUCGAGCCCAUCAAAAUAUGCAGGGACUUUCCAGUGAACGAAAAUCUAGGUGCUCCUAAGGUGGUGAUGUGUAAGAAUGAAAACAAAAGGGGCCAUUCACAAAAUAUAUGAAGGAAGGAGGUGAGGUGAGUGUCCGUCCAUAUGCAUUUUGGCUUUUCUCUGAUGAAGAUGUUGACAAGUCCUUGUACUUCCAAAACAAUUUCAAUCAGCCACCCUCAAAUGUCAUUUUCUCCAUUUUUGUCCACAAUCUCUCUCAAUGGGAUUCACUACACUUCCAUUGAGUAAGUAGCAGGGAUGUCCAAGAAAAGGAAAGUACGAUGUCACGCACUGUUACUUCGUUAGAGAGGAAUGAAAACGGAAGCCAAAAUUGAAACAAUAUAAGUUGCAUACACCAAAGGUACUAAAAUGAGAAGCCAAGGGAGGUGGCCAGAAUCGUGAUGUAUGUGAAGAAAAUGGAUGAUUCAAGACGGUGGGGACAAGAAAGAAAGGUAUGGCGACAAGAGGUCAAGAGCCAUGAACACGAAAAAAAAAACUAUCAUUGUGGUGGCAACAGCGUGAUAGAAUGGUAAUUUAGAUACGAAAUUCAUGUUCAAAACUGAAAGAAUUGCAACAGUGUCGAUGGUAUGUGUGAUGGUGCCUUUAGUAAAAUAAAAUUAUGCUAAUCUAAGGUACAUAUAACCAAGAUGGUUACUAGUUAUAGCUAUGAAAAAAACGACACUUAAAAAGUUAAUGGUAUAGUUUAACUUUGUUA
This is a long non-coding RNA of Erigeron canadensis, 918 nucleotides long. RefSeq lists it as uncharacterized. The record is from RefSeq and is a predicted model, not a curated record. The transcript is spliced from 5 exons. Lineage: Eukaryota; Viridiplantae; Streptophyta; Magnoliopsida; Asterales; Asteraceae.